Molecule: ribosomal RNA, 253 nt
Filed under: uncultured bacterium
Lineage: Bacteria
Description: partial 16S ribosomal RNA
Rfam family: Bacterial small subunit ribosomal RNA
Source: RNAcentral
UACAGAGGGGGCAAGCGUUGUUCGGAAUUACUGGGCGUAAAGGGCGCGUAGGCGGCCUUCUAAGUCGAACGUGAAAUCCCCCGGCUCAACCGGGGAACUGCACCUGAUACUGGCGUGCUCGAGGACGGUAGGGGUGAGUGGAACUCCAGGUGGAGCGGUGAAAUGCGUAGAUAUCUGGAGGAACGCCGGUGGCGAAAGCGGCUCACUGGACCGUCUCUGACGCUGAGGUGCGAAAGCUAGGGUAGCAAACGGG